GGCCGCGAGCUGUGACCGGCACCGGCGGGGCCGCCCCCCGCGAGGAACCGCAAGGCACGGCCGCCUCGGGCUACGUGCGGGACCCGCUGCCCGCCGACACCGGCGCUCGGCACGGCUCCGGAAGGCGCUCCCGGGCACGGGGCGCACCGUGCCGCAGAACACGCGCUUCGCUGACGAGAAGGGAUCAGGGGCCGCACGGAACAAAACGGGAAGGCUCUGUGAGGAGAUAUAACCAAGUUGGUAAAGUACUUUGGCUGAGAAUGCUGAAGACGCCAGCUGGGCACCUUCCUCCGGUUCUAACUACAGCACACACGAGGCGCCUGCCUGUGUUUUAUUGCUGCUGUUGCAGGAAUCAUAUACCUACAAACGAAGCUGGAGCAGUACAGAGGAGCACAGGGAAAGAUACAGAUGCCCAGAUGCUUCAGGAUAGAACACGGGCCUGGGAAAAGGGCAGGCGUUUGGAAUGCUUUCUGCACAAGUUGAGAAAUGUUAUGGAUAAACUAAGUGAAGUUGAAUUACUUUGUUUGAUGCCGGUCCGGAGUAGGCUUCAGUAUAGAAAAUUGAGAUAUGCCCAGCUGCUCCUUGCUAUGCACGUUCACACAGACGUGUGUGAAAAAGAGACCGCUGUGCAUAAGCACGGUGGGAGGGAGAUGGGUCUGUUUGUCUUGCAAGAAUGAAUUCUUGCAGAUGAAUUGUAACGAUACCACCCUUAUAAGUUCUCUAUAUUGCUUCUGUUUGUUUCACAUCGCACUCAUUACAAUGGGUGCUUGCUAGCAACAGAAUUCUAAGUGAUAUUUAAAAAGUGAUAUUUAGAACCAAACUUUUUUUUUUUUUUUUUGCUUUGGACUGUAAUUUCAGUGUAAUUGGGGUGGGGAGACCUGCAUUACACUUGCAAAAGUUGCAAAGGAACACGUUGUUAUUUAUUGGCAGACAGAUUUUUCUCUAUGUCCCGCAGGACGCCAAUCCUCCUAACCCUUUCCUAAGGUUUUCUAUCUAUCGGGCUAGAAAAGGAAGCGGGGCGGGGGGGGAAGGGGGGGAAGAUGUGGAGUGUGGGCAUUUGCGAGGUUGUGAUUUAUGCAGGUUCGGGGCUGUUUGGUGUAGUGGUACGACACAGCACCGGGGUCAAGCCACAAGAAACACUGGGGGGCAGAUCAGAAUAUUCAAUUAGCUUCCUGGCACCUCUGAAUCACAAAGAGAGGAUAAGAUCUCUCCAUCACAAGAUCCAGAGCUGCCGGGGGAGGGGACCUGCCCUCUUCAAAUCUCCCUCCUCCCUCCCACCCGCUCUCCUUUCACCGUAGGAGAACAGCGCUUGAAACAUUCCUUUCUGCACGGAAGGACUUUUCCUAUUGUUGUUUUCUUUGUGUUUCAGUGUUGCCAACUUACUGGAAUUCUUGUCGUGGUUUCACAGCAAGGCUCAGGCUGACCAAACGGAACCAGCUGCGUUUGUGUAUGGGGCCGCCGCCGCUUUAAUCCCCCAACAACGCUGGUGGGGAGGGACGGAAGGGAUCCUCGAAGGGGCACGGGCAGAUCCGCUCAGUACAGAUGAGUACCUGAAAAGCCAACACACCGACACCGUUCUUAAUUAGAAGGGGAACGGUUUAAAGCUGCUCACAUCCCAGCAGUGCACAGACAGGGCCUGAGAGCGGCAACCGCAGACUGGGAGCUACGUGAACCCUUGGUCACUGCUUCUUGGGUGGCUGGAUGCAAGGUUUGGGAGGCACCUGUUUCACACAGCUGGCACACAGAAAGCACGCUCCUGCCUCCUUUGCCUUUACGAGUGCUACACAUGACCAUUUCCCAGAGGGCUGGGGGAAAGAGUUAUUCUUAAACGGGAACGAAUGGAGGCACCACAAACAGUGAGGGCAAGCCCUAUACUGAGACCGUGGGUCAGCCCUCCUCACCAUUAUUCCUAACACUCAAAUAGAAGUUACCCAGUUACUUUACUGGAGAAGAAUGAGAGUCACUAAGGAGCCAGCACAGGAUCAUGUUGUUUUCAGUUUACUUAAUAGAAAAUUUUCUUCUCUCACUUAACCUUACCCCCCAACCAAAGGGACCCUAUUCUUCUGGACACCGUCAUUUUAGGAGAUACAUUUUAGGAGAGCUGAGCUGCAAGAUGAAACACACUGUUUCCUGUAACUACAUCCAAAACUGUACCGACCUACUGCAGCUCUCCCUCUUAUCUUCCUGUUGACUGUCAGUCGAACACUUUCUGACUGAGCUAGACCUAGGGUUUUCUAAUGCAUUAUUUGAGGUUUAAGAUGCAUAUUACAUCUGCUACAGGGUUAGAGGGAGAAAAGCAGAAAUGCAGUAAUUUACUGAACUCUGGGUUUAAUUCAAAAUAUAGUUUGGGAAGUGUUUGUUUGCCUAGUCUGUGCUGUAAGCAAGCAAUUGAAAGAGCUCUUAACAUUAUAAUUUAGAGCAAACAGCCAUGUUGCUUACGCAUGGAAAGGUGCAUGCUAAGCACUCAAGUUAAAAAUUGAAAGGCCUGAUUUCUGACCAAAGUUCAGUUCUAAUUUGCAGUACCCAAGCUCAUCCAGUUCUUAACAAGUAGACAAAAACACCACGGUUGAUGUAUGACUAGAUAAAGACACAAAGCUGAUGGCUAAAGGAGGAGGGGAGAGAUUCACUCAAAGAAGCAGCAGGUCAGACAAAUUUCUCGUCUGUUCUCAACUUCUCAGGACAGUUUACAGAGGCUCAGAUCUGCCUCGUGCAUUAUCCAGGGCUUUAUUGGGUAAUGUAAGUGCCACUGGCAUUUGGUAAUCUUGUAGCCAAUGUGUCCUUGAAUAAACCUAAGUUUUUCCAAAUA
Gallus gallus (chicken) is the source of this 2806-nucleotide long non-coding RNA. RefSeq lists it as uncharacterized. The transcript has 2 exons. NCBI's taxonomy places the organism in Eukaryota, Metazoa, Chordata, Aves, Galliformes, Phasianidae. The record is from RefSeq and is a predicted model, not a curated record.